RNAcentral lists this long non-coding RNA (1967 nucleotides) under Hordeum vulgare. Its description in RNAcentral is "long non-coding RNA (HVUL_LNC009628)". The record is from RNAcentral. Lineage: Eukaryota; Viridiplantae; Streptophyta; Magnoliopsida; Poales; Poaceae.
CAAUGGGUGUCAACCUGUGUUAAGGAUCAAACUAAUAAUGGAUUUAUGUCACUUAGUAUUAGUCCAUUUGCAACCUUGGGCUCGGAAUGAUAUACUAAGGUGUAUUUGAGUUUUAGGCCAUUGUCGGCGCACCAAUCCUUUACUUCUCGGGCUAUGAAAUUACUUCCAUUAUCCGUGACGCUAUGGGGGACUCCUAACGGUGCACCACCCCGGAGCGGAAAUCAAUCAGCGGUCUAGCUUUUGCCAAGGUCAAUGGUAUAACGUCUAUCCACUUUGUAAAUUUCUCUACCAUGAUGAGUCAAUACCUUUUUAUUGGUCCCCCCUUUAAGUGGUCCGACCAUGACUAGCCCCCAUACUACAAAGGGCUAAGUGAUCGGAAUAGUCCGAAGAGUUGUCUGGGGCAUAUGACUCUGAUUAGCCAAAACCUGGUAUCCGAUGCACUUGUCGACAAGUGUUUUGGUAUCUGCUCGGGUUAUUGGCCAAUAAAAUCCUGCCCAAAAUGCCUUGCUUACUAAGUCUCAAGCUGCGGCAUGAGGACCACUCAUGCACGAGUGUAAGAGAAACUCUCUUCCCUCCUCCUUCGGUAUACAUUAUUGAAGGGCACAUGUAACACUUUUUUAAAGGGUUCUCCCUCGUGGACCUCGUAGACUUGAUUCGUUGAAUGAUACGCCGUGUGUCAUACUGGUCCUCGAGGAGCAUUUUACGGAGGAGGUAUGCGAAAAAGGGUUCGGUCCAUGGUGCAAUUACUAUUGUUAUAUCAUGGGUUGAAGAGGUUUCUUGACUUAUGAGCCCCCAAUUAUGCCAUCCUCGUAGGCGCCUGAAGAUGUGCUCUUUUCUAUUUUAUCACAUGGAGAUGUCAUGUUUUCCUCUCGCCACACCACGUAUGGCUUAAACAAGCGUUCCAAGAAGUUGUUUUCCGAGGCGGGGUCUAGUUUCGCAACAUCCACGUGAGCAUAUGUGAAGCUUGAUUGUUGUCCCUCGGGAUAUGGUGAAACUACAACCCCUCGAACCAAGCUGAGAUCAUUAAGAUUGUGUCUCCAUAUGCACUCAUCUUGGGUCCUUUGCGUCAAACUUUCCAUUGACCUGUUAGAUAGCUAGGUUAGAGUCCCGAUACUUGUAAACUGUGUUGGGAUUUUCCACGAGGAGGAGGGCAUGAUGCAGCAUAGUAGAGGUAUUUCCCUUAGUGGGAACCAAGGUUAUCAAACUAGUAGGAGCACCAUGCAAUUUGUCGUCUUCAGCGUCUACACACAAAAGAGCACACACUUGCACGUUGUCAAUCCCUUUAAACUCGUUACUUGCAAGCGAUAAGUAGUCAUAGAUAGAUAGUUUGAUAAAUAUAAAUUGAAAAUAAAAAGAAAGUAGGUAAUGGCAUCAAGGUGUUUAGGCUUUUUGUUAAAAUAUGUCUGAGGAGAGCCUGAUGCAUAGAUUUUCCUAGAGGCUUCUCCCUCGAAGAAGGAAUACGAUGGGUACACAAAUUAUUGUUGCGCAAUUGAUAGAAAAGCACAUAGUAAUGCAAUAUUUAUUCAAGACAAUGAUCAUGUAUAUAUGCAACUCGUCCAUAAACAAGUAGACCGACUCGUACCUACAUCAACUACAAUUACUCCGCCCGUCAACCGCUAUGCAACAUGCAUCUAGAGUAUUAAGUAAAAAUAGAGUAAUGCUUCGAGGAUGACGACAUGAUCUAGACAAAGUAAAUCCAUUUAAUAUGAAUAAAACCCAUUAUUUUACCAUUAAUGGUAGCAAUACAAUACAUGUGAUGUCCCUUUGUGUCACUGGGAUUGAGCAGCGCAAGAUUGACCCACUACAACACACCUCUCCCAGUGAAGAUAAAUUAAUCUAGUUGUCCAAACCAAAUCGACAAAUCACAGAGAAUUACGAAGCUAUAACAAUCAUGCAUAUAAGAAUUCAGAGAAGACUGAUGUAUUAUUCAUGAUUCAUUUAAACAUAAACUCACAAUUCAUCGGAUC